AACGAACGCUGGCGGCAGGCCUAACACAUGCAAGUCGAGCGCCCUUUCGGGGGCGCGGCGGACGGGUGAGUAACGCGUGGGAAUAUGCCCUUCUCUACGGAAUAGCCUCGGGAAACUGAGAGUAAUACCGUAUACGCCCUGUGGGGGAAAGAUUUAUCGGGGAAGGAUUAGCCCGCGUUGGAUUAGGUAGUUGGUGGGGUAAUGGCCUACCAAGCCGACGAUCCAUAGCUGGUUUGAGAGGAUGAUCAGCCACACUGGGACUGAGACACGGCCCAGACUCCUACGGGAGGCAGCAGUGGGGAAUCUUAGACAAUGGGGGCAACCCUGAUCUAGCCAUGCCGCGUGAGUGAUGAAGGCCUUAGGGUUGUAAGCUCUUUCAGCUGGGAAGAUAAUGACGGUACCAGCAGAAGAAGCCCCGGCUAACUCCGUG
RNAcentral lists this ribosomal RNA (430 nucleotides) under uncultured bacterium. RNAcentral's name for it is "partial 16S ribosomal RNA". It matches the Rfam family "Bacterial small subunit ribosomal RNA", at positions 29 to 507 of the family's 1533-position model. The record is from RNAcentral.